AUAGGCUUGCGUCUGAUUAGCUAGUUGGUGUGGUAACGGCACGACCAAGGCUACGAUCAGUAACUGGGUCUGAGAGGAUGAUCAGUCACACUGGAACUGAGACACGGUCCAGACUCCUACGGGAGGCAGCAGUGAGGAAUAUUGGGCAAUGCUCGAAAGAGUGACCCAGCAACGCCGCGUGGAGGAUGAAGGUAUUCUAUAUCGUAAACUCCUGUGAGAGCAGACGAAAGACAGAUUAUUAAUCUGGAUGACUGUAUGCUCAGAGGAAGCCCCGGCUAACUACGUG
RNAcentral lists this ribosomal RNA (286 nucleotides) under uncultured bacterium. RNAcentral's name for it is "partial 16S ribosomal RNA". It matches the Rfam family "Bacterial small subunit ribosomal RNA", at positions 225 to 507 of the family's 1533-position model. The record is from RNAcentral.